UAAUUAAUAUUGAUAACUGUAUUGACUUACUUUUAAAACUUUAUUUAAAAAGGAAACACCACAUUCCUGACAUGAAUGGGGAAAUCCAUACUAUUUUUCCUUCUUUGUCUUCCAUGAACAUUAGUUAUUCUUACCAUGGCCUGAACACAGUCCCUGCUGUUAACCUGUGGCUGAGCUCUCCUGACCUUGCAGCAAAGAUCGGACUGAUUCUUGCACUGCCUACUGCAAUACCCAGAAACAACCAGCAUUCAGGAGGUGAGGUGACACCAUGGACAGGAAGGACAUUGCAUUGGCACCUGCUGAAGAGCUUCGUAGAAGCUAGUAUGCUGAGGUUGGGAAGCCACUUCUCUACUAUUAUGAGAACAAUCCAGGACUAGCCUACUGGGGGCUGAGAUAAACCUCAUGAAGCAGAAUCACUUUGUCACAGUGGAGGCCGUCCUAGACUCAUUGGGCCCCAUGCGACUCAUCAGCUGAACACAGAUGGAUGGCCAAGGGCUGCUGAGAGCAAUUGAGCCUGGCCCAGAUCAGCACACCCACCUAGCCACAUAUCUGUGAGAAAUAGUAAGUAGUUGUUAUUUCAAGCCAUUAUGUUUUGGGGUGGUUUGUUACAUGGCAAUCGCCACCUGAUACAGAGACUUGGAGACAGGUUACGUGACAGAGUUGGUGGCAGAGCUAGGAGUAGAGUCAGGCUGAUGCUGUUUCUUUUUAAUUUGUUUUAAAUUUUUGUGGCUACAUAGUAGGUGUAUAUAUUUAUGGGUACGUGAGAUGUUUUGAUACAGGCAUGCAAUGUGUAAUAAUUACAUCAAAGAAAAUGGGUAUCCAUCCCCUAGCCUGCUGCUUAUUCUUGGUCAAGGUGUUUGAUACAAUGCUCUGCUACUGAACCCAUGUCUUCCCCUUCACCAGGUGACCUCUUAUCUUCUGAAAAGUAACCUCUGGUGCAUUCUGUCCCUCAGGGAGUCAAUCAUGGCCACAUGGGUACAUGGAUGAACAUUCUUCUGCAAAGAAGAUCUAUUUAAAUUUUGCAAAAUGUAUCUCUUUUUUUGGAAGAAAUAUCAAACAAUCUUUGGCUGUUCUGUAACUGUCUGGCAAGUCCAUCUGCCUGUUUUUUACAUAAAAUUUUCAUAAACCAAAAUCAAAUGAACUUUAUUUGAUUUUUCAUCUUAGUAGCAGUAAUAUGAGACCCUACACAUUAUCAUAUAGAGGUCAGGAGCUCCAUCAGAGUAAUUUCCCAACAUUGUUUUGACUUUCUGGGAAGACUGAAGGAAUGUUUUGAGAUGGAUCUCCUUCUCACCCCACUUUGGCUUGAUGCUUCACUUCUGAUUAUUGUGGUGCAAAGAUGUCAACCUACAGCUUAUAGUAGGCUUGAUUUCUAAGGUCAUGCUCAUCUGCAGGCUUUGUAAAAUCUCAAAACAACACAGUAAGAAAGGUCACUUAACAAUAAGAUAAUUCACAUGUUUCCUCCCCAUGAAUGAAGUUUGGUGUAAAAAGAAGCAAAAAUAGUGCCAGAAAUAAAUUACUGACUUAUAAACAUGUUUAUUAAAUGCGUCAUACUUGGAGCACCAGAUGUGAGGAAGACAAAGGCUAAAUGCCAGCAGCAGGAUUGCUAAGUAAAUUAUUUGGCUUGUUGCUGGUAAUGAGAGACUCUACUUGGUGGGAGCUGCUGUGAAAUUACAUGUUUCUACUGUGUUUUUCCUCAGUGAACCAUGAUUGACUCUAGGAAUUGUUUGGAUAAUCUCCCUCUUUGGUGUUGAUAGAAAAAAUAAUUAUCUUUAAAAGAAAAUCUUGAUAAGCCCAAAUAUUUUUUCUGAACUCACAAUUUAUGUCUUCAUCAAUAAAAGUGAUAAAUAAAUUUAUCAAGUGUAAUUUGAUUGCCUCUAAUUCUCCCCUUUCUUCAUACUUUGCAAAAAAAAUACUGUUAAUUUGAGUUAUGCUGAAGACUUAAACUAUAGUCUUCAAAACAGAAAAUAGAAUCUAGAAAGAUGAUACUGUCUGUUAGCAUUUCUAAAUCAUAUUUCUCCUGCAAAAAUGGGCAAAUCUUAAAAUAAGGCUGCUGAUUUGAUUAGGCAGUCUAAUAAUUACACACCUCAUGUACAAUCUCCUAUUCACAGAUCUGGCAUUCUUCCUAUUUCUCCUUUAGAAAAAUAUUUUCUUGCUCAGUUGAGAAGAAUAAGUCAUUAGAGGCUCCAGUAAACAAUUCUGUGUGGAGUGUCCAUUUGAGCAAGCAGCUGUCCUUUGAAAAUUGUCUUUAUUGUUCGAGGCUCUCAAUUUUGCAGCCAGGAGGUUAUAUAAAAUCAAUUAAGCCAGAGGAUCUCUAGGUAAUCAGCCCUGAGCACAGUUGCCCCAGCUGUGAUUAUUUGCCGACGGUGGCAGCUUACUCCUUUAUUCCUGUGUUGCUCAGCCCCCACUUUAGCCUUCACCUCUUGGCAGCAUUGUGCCUCCCAACCCAACCCCCAUUGGCUUCUUUGCUUCACCACUCUUGCUGGUGCAGCCCAGGCUGCUAUCUCCCUGGGUGUCACCCCAGCUCCUGCUUUCAAGGGAUACAAGGAGAAUGCCCUGCUGGGUUAAGAGGUUGUGGCUUUCAUUUCCUUCUCACCAGCAGAUAGGAAGCUGGAAGGAGGUACUACAAAUUGCAGCUGUUGCUGUGGCAACCAGGGCUGCUCCUCAGAAAAGCUGUUCCAGAGGAAAAGCUCCUUGAGUCUUUUGAUCUUUCUGUGUCUUCCCCUUUUUUCAGCCCUUAUGAGGCAACUCAAGCAAUCAUCUCUCCUAAGCACCCCAUCCACUUCUCCCAUGACAAGGAAGUCAUUCACACUGAGGAUUCGACAAUAGAGGAGCCUUCCUGCACUACUCUGCUCAGAGGCAUUGUCCUUGAAUAAGGCAUACAUCCUGUAACCAGAAGAACAUGCCAUAUCAUAACGUCUAAUAUUGUAAUUCUAUGCAUCAUUUGGCUGGGUGGGGAAAGUAUUUUGAGGUGUAGGGUAGGAUAGAGAACUUGUCCAUUCAUUUGUCGAGUGCUUAUUGGAUACUCACCAGGGAGUGAGUACCAGGCAAAAUGCUAAGCACUGGGGUUUCGGAGACAAAUAAGACAGUGUUGAUACCUCUCACAGUCUGGUGGAGAGGCAGAUAUAAAAAGAAAUGUUCACAAUAAAGCAAUGCAGGUGUUUAAUAAAAGUCUAUCUGGGGCUUCUAAGGCAUGAGGGAGGGUGUGUGUGGGCAGCCGGGGAAGCCUCUUGACAGAAGUGUCAUGAGAGAGAGAGGGUGUGUGGUAAGUACACACAUUACUUUGGAGGACUCUUAAAUCUUCUCUUGAAUCCAAUAUCUUAGCUUCAUUUAUGGCUAGUUGGUCAACACCUCAGUAGGUCCAGAGAGCCUUUGUGAAAUAUAAUGUAAAUAUGAGGCAAAGACAGCUGAUGGUCUCUCCCUUAUGAGUCUCUGGAAGGUGGUGAUGAUAGUCCUGGAAGCAGGGCUGGUGGGGACUGGGAAUGGAAAGAAAGGUCUCACUAGAAUAUUCAGCUAGACCUCCUCGGGGAAGUGAGGGGUAAUCACUGGAGGCUAGUGUGGGAGGAGUAAUCACGGAGCUCCUGGCUACAGAACUCCUGGGUGUGUGGUGUUCGGGAAACUGAAACUGGGUGGGGACACUGAUGGGAAAAGAUCUGCCUGACUAUUAUUAAGGGCAUGUAUGCAGUGUCAUGAUUAACUGCAGGGCUUUGGAUUCCAACAGAUUGGAGUUUGUCUUGACUCUGCCACCACUAACUGGAGACUCUGAACAAGGUAGCAAUCCUUCUGGGCCUGUUUCUUCAGGUGUAAAAGGGGAUUAUGUCUAUGGGCUGAAUUGCACCCCCCAUUCAUAUAUUGAAGUCCUAACACCAAGUACCUCAAAAUAUGACUGUGUUUGGAGAUAGAGCCUUUAAGGAGGUAUUGAGUUAGAAUGAGGUCACAAUUCUGGGCCCUAAUCCAAUAUGACCGAUGUCCUUUUAGGAAGAGGAAAUUUAGAUACAGACAUGUACAGAGGGAAAAAUGAUGUGAAGAAACAGGGAGAAGACAAACCAGGGAGAGGGGCCUGGAAUAGAUCCUUCCCUCAUUGCCUUAGAAGGAACCAGCCCUGCCUACACCUUGGUCUUCAGAACUGUGAGAAAUAAAUCUCUCUCUUUUUUAAGCCACCUAGUCUGUGAUAGUUUGUUAUGACAGCCCAAGUUAACUAAUCUAUUGAGAAGAUAAAUUCAUCUAAUUUAUAUGAUGAACUAAAACGCAUGAUAAUAAUCAUUAUAUGGUUGCUAUAAUUAGCAAUAGCAUUAAGGUUGGCUCUAAUUAGGAACAAAUCCUAACUCACUUGCAUUAUUGGAUUAUUAAGGCUAUGAAGAUUAAUUGAUUUCUCUGGUUAACUGGGUGUCAGAGGAUGCCUUGUUUCCAUUCUGAUGAUGACAUCUUUUAAACAUGCCUCAUCCAUCUUUAUACUGAUUAGAAUUGAAGCUUUUUGUGAUUUGUGGGCUCAAAUGCCUUUCUUUGAUUACAAGAGAUUGAAACUGCAUGCAUACUCUUUCUGAAAAGAAGUUUUGUUUUGUUUUUAACAAGCCAAUUAUGUCAAUGUUUUCUAAUAAUUUGCUCCUUUUCUUCAUAAUGAAGUGCUGAAAACUCAAGUUAGCUUUAAGUUUCUAGGUAAUUGGACAAAUCCAUUGUGUUAGUAUUCUUUACUUUCCAUGAGCACAUUUUGUAAAACAUAGUCUUAUAUAUUGCUAUACACUGUAAGAACUCAAACUUGUUUCUGAAACUUUAAUUAUAAUAAAAAUAUGCAAAUUGCUUCACUAGUUAUGGACCAGCUGCUUCUAAACAGUUAACAAACAGAUCAUGUAAAUAUUUUUGGUUAGGAGAAACACCAUGCUCCCAACAACAACAAGACCCAGAAGAAACAGAAUUAUAUUUACAAUUUUCUGGAUUAUAUUUCUCAAUUGGGUUUAUGGGAGCUGGUACAAAACAGCAAAUUGUACUUUAUCACUCACUUGUUUCCACUUAUCUUUUAAGAGAAAACUUUAUUUAGCAUCUUUCUCUCUCUUGAGGAGGAGGUCACAGAACAAAUCAUCUCUACUGGUUCUUACCUAUCCAAGAAAAUUCUGCACAUGGAAAUUCAAGUAAAGAAAGGGAGAAAGGACAACUAUGGAAAGAUACAACUCAGUUUCAGAAGGAGGGAAUAAAAGACCAGUGGACCAUAUCUUUGAAAGAUGUGGUAAAUUAAAAUGCCACUCCUUCCAUGAGGAGGUGGAGCCCAGUACAUUAACCCCAUGCAUUGGGAAUAUUCUGAGCUGUACUUGCAACUAGCUUUGGCCAGUAGAAUGUGAGAGAACAAACAUUGUAUAAUUUCCAAGCAAGGCUUCAAGAGGACUUGUAACUUCUGCUAUCACUUUCUUGCAUGCAUCAUUGCUCUGAGAGUUUCAUGGAAGGAAGUAUAGUAUAGCUGCCUUGAAGAUGACAGAGCACACGAAAAGAGAUCCCAGCUGACAGCCAGCAUCAACUCUCAGACAUGUGAGAGAGGCCAUCUUAGAUUCUCCAGGUCCAGUCUCAGGCAGGACCAGGAGAAGAACAAUCUAGCCACGUACAUCCCAAACUGCUGAUGUGCAAAAUCAAGAGUUGGUAAAAGGGAUGCUAAUUUAAGUCACUAAGUUUUGGGCUGUUUGUUAUACAGCAGUAAGAAACUGAUACAAAAGCACUUGGGACAUAGAAAAAAACAUUUUACAAAAUUCAACAUUGUCAUAGUAAAAACAACAAACUAGGAAUAGAAGGGAAUUUCCUCUACAUGAUAAAGGAUGUCUAUGAAAACUCACAGUAAAUAUCAUACUUAAUGAUGAAAGAUUUUCCCCUUUAAGGUCAUGAACAAGACAAAAAUGUCCACUUUUCUAUUUCUAUUCAGCAUUGUACCAGAGAUUCUAGCCAGGACAAGUAGGGAAGAAAAAGAAGUAAGAGACAUCUAGAUUAGAAAGGAAAAAUAAUACAUAUUAUUUGAAGGGGACGUGAUCUUGUAGAUAGAAAAUCUUAGAAGUCCACUAAAAAUAUUACCACAAAUAAACAAAUUUAGCAAGAAGCAAGACACAAAAUUAGUAUGCAAAUAUCCCUUGUAUUUCUAUACACUUGCAAUGACCAAUGAAAAAAUUAAAUUAAGAAAGUAAUUCCAUUUAGAGGAGCAUCAACAAUAAUAAAAUACUUUUAAAUAAGCUUAGCAAAAGAAGUGCAAAACUUGUAAAAUGAAGACUACAAAACAUGGUUGAAAGAAAUUAAAG
This is a long non-coding RNA of Sapajus apella (tufted capuchin), 6266 nucleotides long. RefSeq lists it as uncharacterized. The record is from RefSeq and is a predicted model, not a curated record. NCBI's taxonomy places the organism in Eukaryota, Metazoa, Chordata, Mammalia, Primates, Cebidae. The transcript is spliced from 2 exons.